This 492-nucleotide ribosomal RNA is filed under the name uncultured bacterium. RNAcentral's name for it is "partial 16S ribosomal RNA". It matches the Rfam family "Bacterial small subunit ribosomal RNA", at positions 29 to 507 of the family's 1533-position model. The record is from RNAcentral.
AGUGAACGCUGGCGGUAGGCCUAACACAUGCAAGUCGAACGGCAGCGCAGUAAGAGCUUGCUCUUACGGGUGGCGAGUGGCGGACGGGUGAGGAAUACAUCGGAAUCUACUUUUUCGUGGGGGAUAACGUAGGGAAACUUACGCUAAUACCGCAUACGACCUACGGGUGAAAGCAGGGGAUCUUCGGACCUUGCGCGAUUGAAUGAGCCGAUGUCGGAUUAGCUAGUUGGCGGGGUAAAGGCCCACCAAGGCGACGAUCCGUAGCUGGUCUGAGAGGAUGAUCAGCCACACUGGAACUGAGACACGGUCCAGAGUCCUACGGGAGGCAGCAGUGGGGAAUAUUGGACAAUGGGCGCAAGCCUGAUCCAGCGAUACCGCGUGGGUGAAGAAGGCCUUCGGGUUGUAAAGCCCUUUUGUUGGGAAAGAAAAGCAGCAGGUUAAUACCCCGCUGUUCUGACGGUACCCAAAGAAUAAGCACCGGCUAACUUCGUG